UCUACACUUCCCUAAGACACUAUUGGCUAGAGUUAACAGUUUGCUCACUAAUAAACUUGAAGGAUUUAGUUUUUCAUUCUUCUGAGAAUGAAUAUAUAGGUGUGUCAGGAGCUCCUAGAAAGACCAGUUCUUGGUUUCAUCAUGACUAAGGUGACUAGAAAAUCACUAAAGCAAAACAGGGCUAAGGUAACACUGACUCCAAGGACUAAAGGGAAGAAGAAAAGGAAGACAUUUAUUCCACUGAGAUGCCGAUUACAUUUUAAGGUAUCAAAGACAAGAAUGAAGACAAAACGAUCCAUAGGGGGUACAAAGAAAAAGUUUCAAACAUACAAUGUUCAUCCAAAAAAGCGUAAAAGAUCAGUAAGACCAACAAUUUAUGUUUGUUAUCAUAUGUUAAGUAGGAAAUGGAAAGAAAGGAAGGAAGGGAAACGAAAUAAAAGACGGUGUCAGUCUAAGAAAAAGAGUCAACAUAAGAGAAGAUACCAAAAUAAGAAACAAAAAAAAAGACCGUUUUUUAGCCAUCUUCAGAAUAGAUAAAGCCCUUGAUAAGUUCACCACUUCAAAUGAAGAUCAAUAUAAGGAAAAGAUAAGAAAACUUGCAAACAUUUAUAACAUUUACUGGGGUCUGAAAAAAUGGCCUAAUAUAAAAAAGAUUGAAUCAUAUAUCAACAGGGCAUAUUGGUGAUGGUGAUGAAAAUAAAACGAAGUUAUAGAAAGGUAA
Peromyscus leucopus (white-footed mouse) is the source of this 721-nucleotide long non-coding RNA. RefSeq lists it as uncharacterized. NCBI's taxonomy places the organism in Eukaryota, Metazoa, Chordata, Mammalia, Rodentia, Cricetidae. The record is from RefSeq and is a predicted model, not a curated record. The transcript is spliced from 2 exons.